AGAGGGGGAGGCUGUGUUGAGGGACAUUUUCAGAAACACUCUCCAAUAACAUUGGUCGGUCUGUCUGUCUCUCUCUCCCAGCCUGUUUGUCUGUCUGUCUGUCUCUCUCUGCCUGUCUCCCAGCCUGUCUGUCUCUGUCUGACCACCAGGUGGGGGUCUCCAGGGAGCUGUAACGUCACACCCCCAGACACUCUUGGGUAGCUACAUCUGGUGACAACUGUUGGCCUGACACUGGUUGAUGUGCUGAAUACUCAUUUGUUUGGUUGAUUGGCUGUUUGUGUUGAUGUGGUGUUUCUAAAGCAUCCCAUUUCUGAAAGUGGAUAUGGCCCAUUUCUGUAAAAAUAACUAACUACAUCCCCUGUGUAUGUUCAUCAAUGAUAAUGAAAGAGCCCAAAGAGUUGUGUAACAUCUCCAGCUGUCAGCGUAAUCUGGACCAGAGGAACUGCAGUCAGAGUUGAAAGAGACCAGAGCUACUUUGAGUGAAGAACUAGAAUACCAUGGAGUUCAGACCAUCUAAAACCAAUCAACACAUCCUUUAGUGCUUCUGACUGGCUUCAUUACCCUGCAGUUGUGUUGCAUUUCCCUGAACAACAGCUUCUUUGAAAGGCAACAAGUAAUCUUGGAUUAAACUUCAUUGAGUGGAAACAGGCCUGUUUCAGACCGUCAGAGGAGGGGGAGGUGAGCGGGGGAGGAGCGACGCUGGGGGCUGAGGCUAGCCGCUUCUCACUCGCUGUUUGACCUUCAGAUGAUGACAUGGCCUGGAGUGGAGGGAGGGUGACAAAAGUUGGGAGGGAGUGGAACAGGUUCUUAAAGCAACAUGAGUCCUAUUCAAGACACAAGCCUCAAGUCUUAGCCUUCAAGCCUUGAGUCAAGUCCCAAAUAACGAUGAUCAAGUCUCAAGUCAAGUCCCAAGUUUCACAGCUCAGUUCAAGUCAAGACAAGUCAAGUCCCACAUUUUUGCUUUCAAGUCUUGAAGUCAAUGGUUAAGAAAAGUUUUGUUAUAUGAUGUGGAUGAUGAAAUAUUUUUUGUUGUUGAAUUUUCCAUUAGCUAAAAGGAAACAAAUAUUAUUCAGUAGGUUGCCUUUAUGUAUUUAUGUUGUCAACUGUCUUUAUGUAUUUAGUUAAAAUAUAUGUUUUAAUAGUAAGCCUAUUUAAGGAUGUUAAAAACAAAAAAAAAAUGCUGUCCAUGUUGAAAUAAAAUUAUAGUGAGAGCCAUUGCAUGCUAAUACAUUUGAGAAUUUUACCAGAAAUACUUAGCUAAAGAAAUGAGGAGAUACCAUGGGAAUCUCUUUGGUAAAUGGGAAUUGAGGAACAUACUGUAUAACCCUCCAUGAAUCAAACUGUUGUUGCUAAACUAAUCACCAGGAAAAUCCUUGAAUACAAUCUAGCUAGCAUUUUAGCACACCCCUGCCAUAAUGUUUUUCUUACCUAUCUUUGUGGGAUCUCAGGAGUCUCAUGAAGUUAGAUGUUGUCACUCAUCAAACAUUUAAGUGUUUCAUGUUUUGCACACUGCUGUCAUUUUCCUGCACACCUCGAAAAAGAUGCCAUGAAAGCAAGUUCUCAAUCCCUUCCGAAUUGGCGACCUGAAGCUGACAGCUGAACGCUAGGUCUAGGUUGAGUGACAUUGAGAAAAGUGAUACUAGAGUGAAGUAUUGUUGUGUUGUCCCGCCCACCCUCAGUUGAGAACAGUAAACACAAGGACUUUGAGUGUAGAGUGUUGAGAGCUGAGAGAUGAGAGAGGAUUGAGGAUUGAGGAUUGAGAGGAAGGUGCUGGGAAAAUCUCUCUCGAGUCAAACAGCUGAACAAAAAUUAUUGUGGGUUAUAAGGAAGGGUAGUACUGGGCUAGAGGUUACAGUGAGGUUAGAACAGGGAUAGUGGUUAAGGCAAGGUUAGUACUGGGCUAGGGGUUAAGGUGAAGUUAGUACUGAGCUAGGGGUUAAGGCAAGGUUAGUACUGGGCUAGGGGUUAAGGUGAAGUUAGUACUGGGCUAGGGGUUAAGGCAAGGUUAGUACUGGGCUAGGGGUUAAGGUGAAGUUAGUACUGGGCUAGGGGUUAAGGUGAAGUUAGUACUGGGCUAAGGGGUUAAGGUGAAGUUAGUACUGGGCUAGGGGUUAAGGUGAAGUUAGUACUGGGCUAGGGGUUAAGGUGAAGUUAGUACUGGGCUAGGCGUUAAGGGGAAAGAAGUACUGAGACCGGUGAUCAAGGGGGAUUUAAUUUCUGGAUGUAGGAUUUUGGAGUUCUGUAACAGCAACUAAAUUCACCUGGAAUAAUUAGCUGUGCUAUUUACACACGCUUACACUACAGCUUGUGAUAAUUAAUUCACCUCAACACUGCUAAAGCUUUAGUGACGGGCCUUGCUCAGUCUCUAGAGGCUGAUUGUGACCUCUGAGCCAAUCAGUAAAGAGGCGAAGAUAAUGCAGCAAAAGUCAAUAAUGGAGGGGCACUUUAUAUUUCUUGUACACAUUGUUCCCUGCUGAAUUGGAAUGACUAGCAAUGGAAGAAGGUGGCCUGGUCUGAUGAAUCAUGUUUUCUUUUACAUCACAUGGCCGGGUGCUUGUGUCGCUUACCUGGAGAACACAUGACACCAGGAUGCACUAUGGGAAGAAGACAAGCCAGUGGAGGCAGUCUGAUGCUUUGGGCAAUGUUCUGCUAGGAAACCUUGGGUCUGGGCAUUCAUGUGGAUGUGCUGUAGGAUGUGUUGGACAAACAUGUCAGAUUCAUGGAGGUCCCACCUCACAACUUACAGGACCUAAAGAAUCUGCUGCUAACGUCCUGAUGCUUUUAGACCUCAAUAAUAUUAUGCAGGUGGUCAUGAUGUUAUGGCUGACUGGUGUGUGUGCAGGUCCUUUAGACCUCAGUAAUAUUAUGCAGGUGGUCAUGAUGUUAUGGCUGACUGGUGUGUGUGCAGGUCCUUUAGACCUCAGUAAUAUUAUGCAGGUGGUCAUGAUGUUAUGACUGACUGGUGUGUGUGCAGGUCCUUUAGACCUCAGUAAUAUUAUGCAGGUGGUCAUGAUGUUAUGGCUGACUGGUGUGUGUGCAG
Molecule: long non-coding RNA, 3040 nt
Organism: Esox lucius (northern pike)
Lineage: Eukaryota; Metazoa; Chordata; Actinopteri; Esociformes; Esocidae
Source: Ensembl